CUGCUGCCUCCCGUAGGAGUCUGGUCCGUGUCUCAGUACCAGUGUGGGGGACCUUCCUCUCAGAACCCCUACGCAUCGUCGGUUAGGUGGGCCGUUACCCCGCCUACUGCCUAAUGCGCCGCAUGCCCAUCCCUGUCCGGCCAAAGCCUUUCCUGCCUCCGGGAUGCCCCGGUGGCAUGUACGCGGGUUUAGCCCGCCUUUCGGCGGGUUGUCCCCCUGACAGGGGCAGGUUGCAUACGUGUUACUCACCCGUGCGCCGGUCGCCGGCGGAGAAAG
Molecule: ribosomal RNA, 276 nt
Filed under: uncultured bacterium
Lineage: Bacteria
Description: partial 16S ribosomal RNA
Source: RNAcentral